UCCCAGCUGGCUCAGAGGGUAAAGCGUCUGUCUACAACGCAGGAGACCCGGGCUCGAUCCCUGGGUCUGGAA
RNAcentral lists this transfer RNA (72 nucleotides) under Ovis aries (sheep). It matches the Rfam family "tRNA". Rfam says of the family: Transfer RNA (tRNA) molecules are approximately 80 nucleotides in length. Lineage: Eukaryota; Metazoa; Chordata; Mammalia; Artiodactyla; Bovidae. The record is from Rfam by way of RNAcentral.